This 74-nucleotide transfer RNA is filed under the name Rhizobium leguminosarum bv. viciae WSM1455. RNAcentral's name for it is "tRNA-OTHER". Lineage: Bacteria; Pseudomonadati; Pseudomonadota; Alphaproteobacteria; Hyphomicrobiales; Rhizobiaceae. The record is from RNAcentral.
GCCAUUAAAAAUCAACGGUAAACACCGGAUUGAAAAUCCGCGUGUCACUGGUUCGAUUCCGGUCCUGGGCACCA